AUGUUCAUUUCCCCUCUUCCAGUACGCAUGGCAAUCUGGACAUGAAUGAGACAUCUGAACUGAAUUAUAGCAAUCAAGCCCAGAAAAGCUUUUGUGUCAGGCAUGCUGCUGAAGUAGUUCCUGGAGAAAUGGGUGUCAGUAGUACUAAUGAUGGUGAAGGGGUUUUCAAUGCAGAAACAGUAACAGCUCAGGCUCGAGAUGGUCCUAGUUUUGGUAUUAGU
RNAcentral lists this unclassified non-coding RNA (221 nucleotides) under Hevea brasiliensis (rubber tree). The record is from RNAcentral. Lineage: Eukaryota; Viridiplantae; Streptophyta; Magnoliopsida; Malpighiales; Euphorbiaceae.